This 75-nucleotide transfer RNA is filed under the name subsurface metagenome. RNAcentral describes it as "tRNA-Met". It matches the Rfam family "tRNA". From Rfam's summary of the family: Transfer RNA (tRNA) molecules are approximately 80 nucleotides in length. Their secondary structure includes four short double-helical elements and three loops (D, anti-codon, and T loops). The record is from RNAcentral.
CGCGGGGUGCAGUAGUGGUCAACUGACCGGCCUCAUAAGCCGAAGCCGCAGGUUCGAAUCCUGCCCCCGCCACCA